Molecule: RNA transcript, 6275 nt
Organism: Physella acuta
Lineage: Eukaryota; Metazoa; Mollusca; Gastropoda; Physidae
Source: RefSeq, a predicted model, not a curated record
CGAGUGCUAAGUUCUGUAGCAACUGACGUCACUCAUGGCCGGCUGAUGUCAACUCAAGGUUUCGUUGUUCUUGGCAGAGUGGAGCCUGAAGUGAAACAUCAAGAGUGAUGAUUCUCUACUUCUAACAGUACCAGCCAGCACAGAAGAACUCACUUGUUGGGCGAAGCACCGUCGCGCAGGCGACCCAUCUUGUAACGUUAGCAUGGCAGACCCUGAGACCGGAUCAGUUGCUGCACUCGCAGGCCUGAUCGCCAGUCCUGUCGCAGACUCCUACACCAACCUGUCUGAACCUUUAAGUCAAGGAAUCCACUAUGACGUCAUCUCUGUUGAAGCGGAUAAGUCUGAGGAAGGCACAGUUUCAGACCUUCUGGUUAUGGAGAAUGAUGACGCAACUGAAAUGUAUGAACUAGAUCCAAACCUAGCUGUCGCUGUGACAACGGACGUAAAAGACAACUUGAACGAAGUUUCCGAUGUGUAUAUUUCUAGAGAAGCGUUGAGCCGGCUGGCCGAGAAAAGCGAAGACCUCCAGCGCUCUGACGUGCCACUGACCCAGCCAAGCACGAAACCAAGAAAGAAAUUUCUGUUUAAAGGCAAGUCUGACCUAGUCGCCUCGCAGACGAUUAGACCUCUGGCACCGAGACGAACUACCAAACUAUAUGAAAGAGGAUCGAUGGAUACGUUUAGUGUCUCUGACAAUAUUUAUGAUCAGGAACUCGAUCAAACAAAAAUCAACACAGACGUUGAAGCACUCCAAAUGUACAGCUUACAAGGCCUGGACAAAGAAACUAUGAAGAGCCCGUCCGAGUCUAGGGAGACAAGCGACCCCCACGUCUUUAAAGAAUACGAGUGUAAAACUUCCAUGGCCUUGCACGACGUUACAAAAUGCAUGGAUGAGUUAAGUACAAACUGCUCUCCAGACAAAUGUGAAUCGCCAGUCCGCAAAAGUCUUGAAGGCAAGCUGGAAUCAACCUUGGUCAAAGAUGUCAUUUCCAGGGAUUCAAGCGAAGACUCGGGUUGCUUCUCUAACCUUUCCAGACAAAGCACAAAUCUCGCAAAUUCUAUUAAUAGCUGUGAUUUUGAUUCAGCCGUCUUCGACGCAGGCCACGAAAGCGCCGAUGAUUCGUAUAGCAGACAUGAGUGUGACUCUGCUCAGCACACUAGCAGCGGCACCUGCGGGCAAGACAUGAAAGACCGCGGCAGCGGCAUGUGCAAAAACUGCUGGGGUCGUGUCAAGAAAGACACCGUGCGCUUGGGUACGCUGGAUGACUUCAAGGCGUACGCCCAGUCCAUCGCCCAGAGCGUCAAAAAUAUUCUGGACAUUAGGCCACGACUUAUGAAAGAUGAAACUAAAUCCUUUGACAGCACCAAGGUGCAAGAUGCGAACAAGAUUUCUAAUACAGAUGAGUCAAGUAAAAGGUCUUUGCAGCGAUUUAAAACAGACAUUCAUCUUGGCUUCCUUAACGAGAGUCGUGCGAAAAUGUUACUAAACCGUAGUGUAACAUGCAAACCAGCUACAAUGGACAGUACCCUGGCUCUACAGGCACCGUCUGAUAUACUGGACGGUACCUUGUCAACGUGCUCUGCUUUAGCUAUAUCGAAAGGUCGUGAUGUGGGCUCACCAAGAAUGAUGAGUCCAUGCAUGGAUGAUGAAGCGUCCAUGCUACUACGAAACUUGGAGCUUAAAAAGAAAAAGCUCAACCGUAUCAAAGCAAUUAAAGAAGAAUCUUUCAAUUUUGUGGCAAAGAAUAACGAGGAGGAAAAGACUAAGCCAGUAGUUCCCCGUACCGCGAAAAUUCAGCCCCGUGUCGAGAGAGCAUCAACAGGCAGUAAUCUAAUCACAAAAACUCAGUCACCAGUCAUCACCACAAAGUUUUCAAAGAAAGAACUCGUUGCUGCUGUCAGCAAAUCGGCUGAUGGUGAUGCAAUUAAAAGAUCGAUUAAAUCUGCAAAAGAUAAACAAAAUGCCAUUAAAAUCCUUCGACUGCAGCUACUCAGAGAAGGAACGCCUGUUGACCCCCCACAUAGCGUCGAGAAGAGACAGGACAGUAAACUCAAGAAAAGCAGCCUUAGCCGCAGUGCUACAGUGUCCUACAAAACGUCUACUACCAAGAAAGACCCGAAACCAAAGUUGACGAAAAAAGAAGACAGUCUGCUCAAAGUGAAUCGUUCAUCCACUAAAAUCACAAUCCGAACCAACAAAGCAUCUGCUUUAAGAAAAGAGAACAGCAUCAAAGGUAAAGAAAGACUGUUUCCCCCAGGGCAUGCAUCGGCUGAGUCGUGGAAGGACGAGCCGGGUAAGGUGGACAUUAGGCAUAGAUCUGCCUCGGACGAUGGCAUUAUGCCCUUGUAUCACCAGAGAUCCGACAUUAAAAAGAGCUGGUCAAGAUCUGCCGUCAACGAAAACAUGAUCCACUCCGAUUUCAAGUCAGGGAUCUUUAAAACUGGAAGAUCAAAAACCGGGGACGCCGUUACCACUGUGGUAGAUGAUGUCAAGCAGACAGAAUACAAAACCAAGUCCUCUGGUCAAAAACUCCCCCACUCCGUGCUUUCUGACCAGCUGUACAGUGGCCAAACUCUUCAUAAUGCUCUCAAGGUGAACGAAACUACACUAGAGCCUCCCAAAUAUGUGGAUCACCCAGUACCUGCACCUCGCACAGACAAGCCUGUCAAAACAAUUCCUGCAGCUGUUCCUCCAGAUAAUUCUUAUUGCGAUGGAGUGAAACAUUUACCUGUCGCUCUAGAACGACAACUGUCGUCCCUUUCUAAAACUAAAUUAGCCGACACGGGCAACUAUUAUAACGAGCCAGCAAUUGACGCUGAUAUCCAUGAACCGAAAUCGUCAGAAGCAACCAAGGUUGACGCGUUGGUCGUGGCGAAGGCUGAACUGUACACAGUGGAGAACACCAAAGAAGACACGUACUAUGAGACGAAAGACAUGGCCUUGUCUAAACGCGAUCGUUCCCACGAGAGCAAGUCUAGCACCAGCUUUCACGUGGUCGCUAAUGUCAGGAGCAGUCACUCGGAUUUGGCACUGAUCAGACCUCAGAGUGUCUGUGAAAAUUAUACGUCCAGGAGACACGGCGGCGAGACUGACGUAGACACGGGAUUUAUCUACCAUUUCGCUAAAAGACAGACAACAAGGGCACAGGUGCCAAACUACCAUGACCUGACUUCAAGUAAGGGCAUCUACACCAUGAGCGGCGAUGUCAGCACAUCAGACAGCUCCUAUAGCAGCAUUAGCGGCAAAAGCGAGCCCGCGGAGAACUGCUACACUGGCGGUUUCUACAAGCAAGAUCCCUUCUACGACCACGACAACAACGGCGAUAGCAGCUCAGCAAGUUCUUCUAGCCAUCUUUACUUUGAACCGACCCAACUCGUGUGCAAUAAAGAGCUGAGCGAACAAGAUCUGUACACUGGAGAUGUUUUCAACAGCGAGCAGAACGACAUGUUUACCAAAGAAGUGCCUUAUUCAAAUGGUAGCACAAACAAUUCUUCACGCCCAGUACAGAGUCGAAUGUCUCGCCGGUACAGAGGUAGGCCACGAAUCGAUUACGUUGUCGACAGCGACCUGGAUAUUAUAAAUGGCACCACAAUGGCACUAUGGGGCAACAACUAUUCCAACAAUAGCAGCAACGGACCAGAUUUCGGAAGAGAAUGGAAUUACGAUGAAUUCUCCAAGGGUGAAGUGGAUUCUAGACCACAGAUAACUACCAGCGAAGACUCCGCCUACACGGAUUACGUCAACCACAGGCCAGCGCCCCUGCCCGUCAAACAGGAAACAAGUUACCAGAAAACCAUUGAUUUCACCAAAUAUGACAUGCAAGAGACCGCGAACACCGGUUUCUUCUUCCAAGCAUCAAAUAAAGUAGACACGGAAGAUAUGUGGUACCGAGGUCCACGAGUUCGAACAUACAUGGGAGAUCCUUUAGAGCGAGGCAUCGAAGCCUGCCCGAAUUUGCAUCGAUUGCCCCCUAAUGACGAGGACGAUAGUUACACUAAUAUCAUUUGCCCAAAGUAUAAGAACAAUAACAAUGAACACGAAUUACCAGUAAAAGAGAUAAAAGAGGAGGACAAUCUUAUCUUUAACAAUCACAACAACAAUCAUUUGGAAGAUUUCUAUACGGGGGAUUAUGAGCCACAAGAUGUAAGACGCAAGCCACCGCUGGGGGUGAAAGAACAGUCUGGUGGAUCUCACUACAGCACAUCCGGGUUUUACAUGGAUUCUGUGAUGAGUCCCCACCCAGCGGGACCCCGGCUGUUUGGACAACAGGGGGAUUCUUACGCCAGCCACGGCGCCUAUGGCUCCAGCGAUUACUCGUCUCCAGGCAUGUACGGCCAUUUGGAGCGUGCUAAUCCCCGUUCACUUUCUAGCAGUCCAUCGCGAGGUGAUUAUGCUGAUCCUCCAUAUGCAUCACCCAGCAUGUACGGGGCAGCUCCACUUGACGGGCGUAUGAGCCGUGAAGCCGAUUCUUGGAAUGUAUACGAGGCAUCUCAAUACAAAACCCCUAGACAAAGCGACUACGAAGAACUGCCAACUCAAAGAUACGGUCGGGAGGUGCGUGUGCAACAAGAGGAGAGGGACAGUUACUUCGACUACACCGCUAGCCGCAACCCGUCCGCGGGCUUCUACGGCGAGAACAAUAUUGCAGGUGCCUUCUCUUCUUUUAAUGCCGCCGUCGCUCCACCGGCAGUGCCAGUUGUUCAUGAAAUCAAGAAAGUCGGUGGAAUCGUUUGUCGCGAGAACGUGGUGAACAAAGAAGACUAUGCAGAAGAUGUCAACCGAGAUCUUAUGGAUGAACCCGGUGCAUGGGUUUCUUACAAGUACAGGGCUGAAGAAGAUACGCGAAAUUUUAAGGAAAUGGGUGGCAGCCGAUCGACCAAGCAUGAACUUUUUUCUCCGACGGAAACCAGUGCCACAGGAAAAUUUAAAGUAUCAGACGACAGUCCGUACGCUACCAACGAAGUUCACGAUAAUUUCGGGGCGAGAAAUAAAUGGAGAGAGAUGAAUGAUCAUGCCGCGAACAAGCGCGACAAAGAUCCAAAGAAUAAAGGUUCGGCCAAAGAGAAAAAAAAUUAUUUGAACGGAACUGCCUGGCGACCCUCCGAUCAGAUUCCAGAAAGAGCAAUGGGAAAGAGACCACAGCAAACUAGCAACAAGCUACCUAUAACGCCAACUAUACUGGAGCAUAACAGCAACACCAGUGCCGCUGGCUCAGGCAACACGGUCUGGUCCACGGUAACAUGGAUCCCAUCCCGUGUUGGCGAUAUGGUCAAAAAAUUGUUUUGAUCUAGUUCCAACACAAGUUGCGUGUCUAGUGGAACUCUUGAAGACAGUAAUUUUUAAAAUAAUAUUUGAUAGUUCAAUAUAUUCAGCAACAGCAUCACCAUAGAAAAUCGUGCAGUAAGUAAAGGAUGUCCACCCCCAAGAAAAAAAGUAACACCAGAACCAUGUAAAAAGAUUUUGACCCGGAAACCUCAGGCCCUUAUACGAAUGGAUUGUUUGUCUCUACCAAGGUGGACAUACUUAGAUACCGCUACUGGAUGCAAGCAGAAUGAUCACACCUCAUCUGAUAUCACUGAUUUAGUACCGGAAACACCCCCUAAGGAUGGCCAUGCUGAGUUUAUCAAACAGAAAAAAUUUAUUCCGAGUCAAGCAAGUAAGAAACCCGAGGAUUUUACAUUGGAAUGGGAGAUGGGUGAAGAAGAGAGAGAGAAAUACCUGCUUCUGGUUCAAACCCUUCCACCGUAUCCACAAACUCAGGUCUUGAGAACCAGAGAAGACCGGCCUCAGGUUUCAAACUACCCUUGACCUUUGUUAAACCAAUAGCAACUUUUUUUUGUUUUGCCUUCCUCCAUAAAUUUGGGAAAACAGCCAGCCAUCCUUUCAAACCAAGUGAAAAAAUGGGAGUCUGUUGUGCAUUAUUAGGGAGGUCCAUCUGCUUCAGCCCUUAACAUAUUACAUCACACUUCAAGCCCUACUCUGGCUAACCAUCAAAAACUGGUAACAUUUUAAAUUUAAAAAAAUAUAAAUUGAAGUUUUAAAAAAUAACAGCAAGAAUAAUGUGAAUUUAGUAAAUGUUUUUCAAGCACACCACUUGAAGCAAUAAUCAUAUACCAGAUGCUACUAUAAAUAAGAUUCUGUUAACAUCUAGCAAACAGUAGCAUAUCACAUUUGAAGAAUUACUUUUAUUAAAAAAGGUAGUUUUUACAAAUAAACUUCAUCAAUUAUGUGAAUUGUUUCAAUCCCUUUGUAAAAUAAACCAUUGCAUAAACUA